CUCUUCGGGGAUGAUUAAACCGGCGCACGGGUGAGUAACACGUGAGUGACCUGCCUUUUAGACUGGAACAACUUACCGAAAGGUGAGCUAAUGCCGGAUGAGUUAUAUAAGUGCAUGUUUAUAUAGGAAAAGUUGGGGAGACCUGACGCUGAAAGAUGGACUCGCGUCCCAUUAGCUAGUUGGUAGGGUAAUGGCCUACCAAGGCGACGAUGGGUAGCCGGCCUGAGAGGGUGGCCGGCCACACUGGGACUGAGACACGGCCCAGACUCCUACGGGAGGCAGCAGUGGGGAAUUUUGCGCAAUGCUCGUAAGAGUGACGCAGCGACGCCGCGUGAAUGACGAAGGCCUUCGGGUCGUAAAGUUCUUUCGACAGGGAAGAAAAUGCCUAUAAGUAACUGUGUAUGUAUUGACGGUACCUGUAUAAGCAGCCCCGGCUAACUCCGUGCCAGCAGCCGCGGUAAUACGGAGGGGGCGAGCGUUGUUCGGAGUGACUGGGCGUAAAGAGCACGUAGGCGGUGUUGUAAGUCAUUAGUCAAAGACUAGAGCUCAACUUUAGUAAGGCUAGUGAUACUAUAAUACUAGAGUAUCAGAGAGGAUUGCAGAAUUCCUGGUGUAGCGGUGAAAUGCGUAGAUAUCAGGAGGAAUACCGUUAGCGAAGGCGGCAGUCUGGCUGGAAACUGACGCUGAGGUGCGAAAGCGUGGGUAGCAAACAGGAUUAGAUACCCUGGUAGUCCACGCUGUAAACGAUGGAUGCUAGGUGUUGG
RNAcentral lists this ribosomal RNA (764 nucleotides) under uncultured bacterium. RNAcentral's name for it is "bacterial SSU rRNA". It matches the Rfam family "Bacterial small subunit ribosomal RNA", at positions 76 to 826 of the family's 1533-position model. The record is from RNAcentral.